Molecule: ribosomal RNA, 207 nt
Filed under: uncultured bacterium
Lineage: Bacteria
Description: partial 16S ribosomal RNA
Rfam family: Bacterial small subunit ribosomal RNA
Source: RNAcentral
UCGGAUGUAGUCUGNAACCCGACUACAUGAAGCUGGAAUCGCUAGUAAUCGCGGAUCAGAAUGCCGCGGUGAAUACGUUCCCGGGUCUUGUACACACCGCCCGUCACACCAUGGGAGUUGGGAAUACCCGAAGCCUGUGAGCUAACUUAUAAGAGGCAGCAGUCGAAGGUAGAAUCAAUGAUUGGGGUGAAGUCGUAACAAGGUAGC